This 727-nucleotide ribosomal RNA is filed under the name Sylvilagus floridanus (eastern cottontail). Its description in RNAcentral is "partial 12S ribosomal RNA". It matches the Rfam family "Bacterial small subunit ribosomal RNA", at positions 324 to 1289 of the family's 1533-position model. The record is from RNAcentral. Lineage: Eukaryota; Metazoa; Chordata; Mammalia; Lagomorpha; Leporidae.
AUCCCAUACCGGUGAGAAUGCCCUUAACAUCAACAUAGAUCAAGAGGAGCAGGCAUUAAGCACACUAAUAAGUAGCUCAAGAUGCCUUGCUUAACCACACCCCCAAGGGAAACAGCAGUGAUAGAAAUUUAGCAAUGAACGUAAGUUUGACUAAGUUAUGCUACUCUAGGGUUGGUAAAUUUCGUGCCAGCCACCGCGGUCAUACGAUUAACCCAAACUAAUAAAUACCCGGCGUAAAGCGUGAUUAGAGCUAAAAUAGAAAAAUAAAAUCAAAUAACAACUAAGCUGUAAAAAGUAAUAGUUGUAAACAAAAAUAAACAACGAAAGUGAUUUUACAACCUUCGAACUCACGAUAGCUAAGAUCCAAACUGGGAUUAGAUACCCCACUAUGCUUAGCCCUAAACCUGAAUAAUUUCAUAACAAAAUUACUCGCCAGAGAACUACAAGCCAGAGCUUAAAACUCAAAGGACUUGGCGGUGCUUUAUACCCGCCUAGAGGAGCCUGUUCUAUAAUCGAUAAACCCCGAUAAACCUUACCACUCUUUGCCAACUCAGCCUAUAUACCGCCAUCUUCAGCGAACCCUAAAAAGGAAUAAAAGUAAGCUCAACUAUUGCCAUAAAAACGUUAGGUCAAGGUGUAGCCUAUAGAGUGGAAAGCAAUGGGCUACAUUUUCUUCUUCAGAACAUACGAAAGCCCUUAUGAAAUUCUAAGGGCCAAAGGAGGAUUU